Molecule: non-coding RNA, 165 nt
Filed under: uncultured Rummeliibacillus sp.
Lineage: Bacteria; Bacillati; Bacillota; Bacilli; Caryophanales; Caryophanaceae
Source: RNAcentral
CGUGGUGACACGGAAUCUGAAGGAAGUGAGCGGCAAACCUCCGGUCUGAGGAACACGAAUCUCAUAUAAGGCUAGGUAUGACUGGAUGAGUGUGCUAAACAACACAAAGUCCUUUCUGUCAAAGGUUAUAUCUAGUAAAUGAGGCAGAUAGAUGGAGCGAAAGAG